Molecule: long non-coding RNA, 172 nt
Organism: Erigeron canadensis
Lineage: Eukaryota; Viridiplantae; Streptophyta; Magnoliopsida; Asterales; Asteraceae
Exons: 3
Source: RefSeq, a predicted model, not a curated record
UUUUUCCGGCCAGCCAGACAGUGCGUUUUUUGCUAUACAUAUUUUUCCGGUAAACUAUUUUUCAGACGAGGUUAAAAUGACUGCACUUCACGGCGGAGAUGGUGGCAACGACCCUCCAAACUGGGGGUGGAAUCCCGAAUGGGGUUGUAGGCGUACGGGUGGUAUUAGCACA